Molecule: ribosomal RNA, 609 nt
Filed under: uncultured bacterium
Lineage: Bacteria
Description: bacterial SSU rRNA
Rfam family: Bacterial small subunit ribosomal RNA
Source: RNAcentral
GAGUUUGAUCCUGGCUCAGAACGAACGCUGGCGGCAGGCCUAACACAUGCAAGUCGAACGAAGUCUUCGGACUUAGUGGCAGACGGGUGAGUAACGCGUGGGAACCUACCUGGAGGUUCGGAAUAACUCGGGGAAACUCGGGCUAAUACCGGAUACGCCCUUACGGGGAAAGAUUUAUCGCCUUUAGAUGGGCCCGCGUUGGAUUAGCUUGUUGGUGAGGUAAAAGCUCACCAAGGCGACGAUCCAUAGCUGGUCUGAGAGGAUGAUCAGCCACACUGGGACUGAGACACGGCCAGACUCCUACGGGAGGCAGCAGUGAGGAAUAUUCGGCAAUGGGCGCAAGCCUGACCGAGCCAUGCCGCGUGAGUGAAGAAGGCCCUAGGGUUGUAAAGCUCUUUCACCGAUGAAGAUAAUGACGGUAGUCGGGGAAGAAGCCCCGGCUAACUUCGUGCCAGCAGCCGCGGUAAUACGAAGGGGGCUAGCGUUGUUCGGAAUUACUGGGCGUAAAGCGCACGUAGGCGGAUUGUUUAGUCAGGGGUGAAAUCCCGGGGCUCAACCCCGGAACUGCCCCUGAUACUGGCAAUCUCGAGUUCGAGAGAAGGUGGAGUG